GAUGAACGCUGGCGGCGUGCCUAAUACAUGCAAGUCGAGCGAACGGACGAGAAGCUUGCUUCUCUGAUGUUAGCGGCGGACGGGUGGGUAACACGUGGAUAACCUACCUAUAAGACUGGGAUAACUUCGGGAAACCGGAGCUAAUACCGGAUAAUAUUUUGAACCGCAUGGUUCAAAAGUGAAAGACGGUCUUGCUGUCACUUAUAGAUGGAUCCGCGCUGCAUUAGCUAGCUGGUAAGGUAACGGCUUACCAAGGCAACGAUGCAUAGCCGACCUGAGAGGGUGAUCGGCCACACUGGAACUGAGACGCGGUCCAGACUCCUACGGGAGGCAGCAGUAGGGAAUCUUCCGCAAUGGGCGAAAGCCUGACGGAGCAACGCCGCGUGAGUGAUGAAGGUCUUCGGAUCGUAAAACUCUGUUAUUAGGGAAGAACAUAUGUGUAAGUAACUGUGCACAUCUUGACGGUACCUAAUCAGAAAGCCACGGCUAACUACGUG
This 497-nucleotide ribosomal RNA is filed under the name uncultured bacterium. Its description in RNAcentral is "partial 16S ribosomal RNA". It matches the Rfam family "Bacterial small subunit ribosomal RNA", at positions 28 to 507 of the family's 1533-position model. The record is from RNAcentral.